GUGAGGAAUAUUGCGCAAUGGAUGCAAGUCUGACCCAGCCAUCCCGCGUGCCGGAAGAAGGCCCUCAGGGUUGUAAACGGCUUUUGACGGUGAAGAAUCGACAGGAUGCGUCCUGUUUUGACGGUAGCCGUUGAAUAAGCACCGGCUAACUCCGUGCCAGCAGCCGCGGUAAUACGGAGGGUGCGAGCGUUGUCCGGAUUUAUUGGGUUUAAAGGGUGCGUAGGCUGGAAGGUCAGUCAGCGGUGAAAAGCUGUCGCUUAACGAUAGUCUUGCCGCAGAUACUUCCUUUCUUGGAUGAGGAGGAGGCCACUGGAACGGAUGGUGUAGCGGUGAAAUGCAUAGAUAUCAUCCAGAACACCGAUUGCGAAGGCAGGUGGCUGUACCUUAAUCGACGCUGAUGCACGAAAGCAUGGGGAGCAAACAGGAUUAGAAACCCCUGUAGUCC
RNAcentral lists this ribosomal RNA (445 nucleotides) under uncultured bacterium. Its description in RNAcentral is "partial 16S ribosomal RNA". It matches the Rfam family "Bacterial small subunit ribosomal RNA", at positions 354 to 796 of the family's 1533-position model. The record is from RNAcentral.